Molecule: non-coding RNA, 21 nt
Organism: Caenorhabditis elegans
Lineage: Eukaryota; Metazoa; Nematoda; Chromadorea; Rhabditida; Rhabditidae
Source: Ensembl
UGCCUCGUAUGAUACCUUUGU